CAGUCGCCGCGGUAAUACGAAGGGUGCAAGCGUUACUCGGAAUUACUGGGCGUAAAGCGUGCGUAGGUGGUUUGUUAAGUCUGUUGUGAAAUCCCCGGGCUCAACCUGGGAAUGGCAAUGGAUACUGGCAAGCUAGAGUGUGUCAGAGGAUGGUGGAAUUCCCGGUGUAGCGGUGAAAUGCGUAGAGAUCGGGAGGAACAUCAGUGGCGAAGGCGGCCAUCUGGGACAACACUGACGCUGAGGCACGAAAGCGUGGGGAGCAAACAGGAUUAGAUACCCGAGUAGUCCCUGUCUCUUAUAC
Molecule: ribosomal RNA, 301 nt
Filed under: uncultured bacterium
Lineage: Bacteria
Description: partial 16S ribosomal RNA
Rfam family: Bacterial small subunit ribosomal RNA
Source: RNAcentral